RNAcentral lists this ribosomal RNA (406 nucleotides) under uncultured bacterium. RNAcentral's name for it is "partial 16S ribosomal RNA". It matches the Rfam family "Bacterial small subunit ribosomal RNA", at positions 30 to 526 of the family's 1533-position model. The record is from RNAcentral.
AUUGAACGCUGGCGGCAGGCCUAACACAUGCAAGUCGACCGCGCGGCGGACGGGUGAGUAAUGUCUGGGAAAAUGCCUGAUGGCGGGGGAUAACUACUGGAAACGGUAGCUAAUACCGCAUACCAUCAGAUGUGCCCAGAUGGGAUUAGCUAGUUGGUGGGGUAACGGCUCACCAAGGCGACGAUCCCUAGCUGGUAUGAGAGGAGGACCAGCCAAAAUGGAACUGAGACACGGUCCAGACUCCUACGGGAGGCAGCAGUGGGGAAUAUUGCACAAUGGGCGCAAGCCUGAUGCAGCCAUGCCGCGUGUAUGAAGAAGGCCUUCGGGUUGUAAAGUACUUUCAGCGGGGAGGCGUUACCCGCAGAAGAAGAACCGGCUAACUCCGUGCCAGCAGCCGCGGUAAUUC